AUGUACCACUCGUACACUCCGGUUCCUGUGCGCCGCCCGCACCCGCCUGACGACUGCUCGCAGCGACGCGCUAGCG
RNAcentral lists this small RNA (76 nucleotides) under Xanthomonas vasicola. RNAcentral describes it as "sX9 sRNA". It matches the Rfam family "Xanthomonas sRNA sX9". Lineage: Bacteria; Pseudomonadati; Pseudomonadota; Gammaproteobacteria; Lysobacterales; Lysobacteraceae. The record is from RNAcentral.